RNAcentral lists this ribosomal RNA (481 nucleotides) under uncultured bacterium. Its description in RNAcentral is "bacterial SSU rRNA". It matches the Rfam family "Bacterial small subunit ribosomal RNA", at positions 501 to 985 of the family's 1533-position model. The record is from RNAcentral.
CUACGUGCCAGCAGCCGCGGUAAUACGGAAGGUCCGGGCGUUAUCCGGAUUUAUUGGGUUUAAAGGGAGCGUAGGCCGGAGAUUAAGUGUGUUGUGAAGUGUAGACGCUCAACGUCUGACUUGCAGCGCAUACUGGUUUCCUUGAGUACGCACAACGUUGGCGGAAUUCGUCGUGUAGCGGUGAAAUGCUUAGAUAUGACGAAGAACUCCGAUUGCGAAGGCAGCUGACGGGAGCGCAACUGACGCUUAAGCUCGAAGGUGCGGGUAUCGAACAGGAUUAGAUACCCUGGUAGUCCGCACAGUAAACGAUGGAUGCUCGCUGUUGGUACCUGGUAUCAGCGGCUAAGCGAAAGCAUUAAGCAUCCCACCUGGGGAGUACGCCGGCAACGGUGAAACUCAAAGGAAUUGACGGGGGCCCGCACAAGCGGAGGAACAUGUGGUUUAAUUCGAUGAUACGCGAGGAACCUUACCCGGGCUUGAA